GGGUCUGCUUCUUCAGCCAGCGUCUCCUGUUUUGAAAAUCCUCUGGCUCUUCUUUUGCCAAAGCCCCCAGACUCCACCCAUACCUUAUACACAAUGAGAGCCAACCAGGGGAAAAGUCUGAACGUGAGAACGGAGACGCUGAGAAACUGAGAUAAAGUACAUUGGGUUCUAAAAAGCCUGGAAGAUACAUUUUCCUGGACCAGUUCACUGCUUAAAGAAAUGAGUUUGUGGCUCGGAGCUACAGUAAAUACUGUUAGUAUUCUGGACAUGACUGAGGCGUUUUGUAUCAUUCUCAGCAUCUCAAGUGACCUGUCUCAUGUUCAAGAAUGAAAGCCGUAUAUUAUAUUGAAAGCAAAUAGAACUUCGCAGUAAAACGUUGGAAUUAAAAAAAAUAAAAUAAAAUCACCCAAAGGCCA
Molecule: long non-coding RNA, 416 nt
Filed under: Felis catus (domestic cat)
Lineage: Eukaryota; Metazoa; Chordata; Mammalia; Carnivora; Felidae
Description: lncRNA (ENSFCAG00000047251.1)
Source: RNAcentral